Molecule: ribosomal RNA, 250 nt
Filed under: Megasphaera stantonii
Lineage: Bacteria; Bacillati; Bacillota; Negativicutes; Veillonellales; Veillonellaceae
Description: partial 23S ribosomal RNA
Rfam family: Bacterial large subunit ribosomal RNA
Source: RNAcentral
GAGAUGGACAACAGGUUGAAAAUCCUGUACCGCAGGAGUCUGUUUGAGCGAAGGAGUGACACAGAAAGGAAUGCGCGCGUGCGAUUGGAAGAGCACGUCCAAGCUGGUAGGUUGUGUGGCAGGCAAAUCCGCCAUACUAAAAGCCGAGAAGUGAUGGGGAGCCAUUGGAGACAAUGGCGAAGGGGCAGGAACUAGGCUGUCGAGAAAAGCUUCUAGUGAGGACUCAGGCGCCCGUACCGAAACCGACACA